GCUUGCUCCCGGAUGUUAGCGGCGGACGGGUGAGUAACACGUGGGUAACCUGCCUGUAAGACUGGGAUAACUCCGGGAAACCGGAGCUAAUACCGGAUAGUUCCUUGAACCGCAUGGUUCAAGGAUGAAAGACGGUUUCGGCUGUCACUUACAGAUGGACCCGCGGCGCAUUAGCUAGUUGGUGAGGUAACGGCUCACCAAGGCGACGAUGCGUAGCCGACCUGAGAGGGUGAUCGGCCACACUGGGACUGAGACACGGCCCAGACUCCUACGGGAGGCAGCAGUAGGGAAUCUUCCGCAAUGGACGAAAGUCUGACGGAGCAACGCCGCGUGAGUGAUGAAGGUUUUCGGAUCGUAAAGCUCUGUUGUUAGGGAAGAACAAGUGCAAGAGUAACUGCUUGCACCUUGACGGUACCUAACCAGAAAGCCACGGCUAACUACGUGCCAGCAGCCGCGGUAAUACGUAGGUGGCAAGCGUUGUCCGGAAUUAUUGGGCGUAAAGGGCUCGCAGGCGGUUUCUUAAGUCUGAUGUGAAAGCCCCCGGCUCAACCGGGGAGGGUCAUUGGAAACUGGGAAACUUGAGUGCAGAAGAGGAGAGUGGAAUUCCACGUGUAGCGGUGAAAUGCGUAGAGAUGUGGAGGAACACCAGUGGCGAAGGCGACUCUCUGGUCUGUAACUGACGCUGAGGAGCGAAAGCGUGGGGAGCGAACAGGAUUAGAUACCCUGGUAGUCCACGCCGUAAACGAUGAGUGCUAAGUGUUAGGGGGUUUCCGCCCCUUAGUGCUGCAGCUAACGCAUU
RNAcentral lists this ribosomal RNA (799 nucleotides) under Bacillus aerius. RNAcentral describes it as "bacterial SSU rRNA". It matches the Rfam family "Bacterial small subunit ribosomal RNA", at positions 78 to 861 of the family's 1533-position model. Lineage: Bacteria; Bacillati; Bacillota; Bacilli; Caryophanales; Bacillaceae. The record is from RNAcentral.